GGAGAGGACGUAGAAAAGCGAAGGAGAGGAAGGAUGAAGAAAGUAGAAGAAAGUAGAGAAGGGAGGAGGAAGGUUUGUUAAGGAAGGAAGUGGUAGCUGGGCAGGUCCGAAUAAGUAACAAAUGAAAGUUAAUGAUUAAUGUUGAAUAAGAGACUGUAUAUUUAAUAGGUUGUUGGAAAAUGAAAAUAAAACUUUAAAAAAAAAAAAAAAGAAACUGCCUGACGGUGAGAACUGCUUGCCACCCGGUGUUGUGGAUGCUUCAUCAUUUUUCAAGGGAAAAUAGGACACUCAUUUGACUUGAAUGGUAGUAUAUAAGGCUCCUGCCUUGAGCAAGGGGUUGAACUAGAAAACCUCCAAGGUCCCUUACAACCUUAUGAUUCAAUAUUGUGAAGAACUCAGUUAAGGACCUGCCUCUCUUUUGCCAUCUUAACUCUUUCCUCUUCAGAUUCAGAGAAGUUUUUUCCUAUAUGUGCACUAACGUUUGUGCUUACAAACAACCCAUAAACAGAGUCACUUGGCUGAGUUGGGUGGCUAUGGAAAUUGAUUUCCCCACCCAGUUGUCUGCAAUUUAGUUAAGCAACUGGUGGCUGAUGGUAAGUACUGUGGCCCCAUAUAACUUUGGGCAUGUAGGGUAUAAAAUAAAUAACUAAGGGGGCUUCCCUCCAUUGCACUUCUCAUCUUUUAUCUUUAUCUUUUAUUGUUUUGAUGGUAAAUUGUUUGACUGUUACUAAUUUCCCAGAGACACCGAAGAAGCACAAGGCAGCUGACAAAAAACUUUGGAGAUAAUAAACUGUUUCUCAAGAGGCAACCUUUUCUCACAAGAAAGAAAGAAGCUGGUGAGAAAGAUUUGAAGAGUGGGAAAUGAUGGCUGGUGAUGCUCUGAAGUGUUGAAGGUCUGUCCUUUCCUGGUGAUCCUGGGACAAGACUCUUGAAAUAUCCCUGGGUGCAGUCCAGAGAAGAUGGGCGUUGGCUGCAAGGGAGAGACAGCCUUGGGGCAAAGGAAAUCAGGUGCUGGCAGCCCAAGAGAAAAUGCCUGCUGACGUAAUAGCUCAACUCUAUGGAGAAAGGGGGUUGUAGGGAAACAAUUAAUCACUGCCAAAUUCCUAUUCCUAUUUAGCUGAAGCAGAGAAGGGAAGAAGGUGUGGGUGGAAGAUAGGUACUAUGCAUUAACUGCCUCAACAGAAUACUGCAUACAUUAUUCCACAGAGAUAGAAAAUGUUUUCCAUAGUUUACAGAUUAUUUUGGGGUGGUGCAGAAGUCUGGAUUUCCUAUGAAACAGAAGGAUUGGAUCAAUGCUACUCUCCAUUGUGGAAGAUAAGAAUCGGAGGCAAAUAUGGAAGGCCACCAGAUGCUUACCUCCCCAUUAUCUAUGACUGCAACGGAAGAAGUUUGACCGCAGGCAAUGCUGACUGCUACCUUAGCCUGUAAACAAUUGGAGACCCUGCGAGGAGUUGGCUGGUUUGCAGUUGAUCCCGACCCGACUUGUCCACAGUUGUUAUAGCCCCAGGCGUAUACCUUUUAACAAAGGACAAAGAGGGAGAGACACCAAGGAAGCAUAGGACAAACCUUACUAGAACUUUAUAAUGCUGGGAAAAAUGGAAAGAAAGAAGAAAGAGGAUGACCAGAAGCAAGAUGGAUGGUUGAACUUAUUUACAACAACAAUGGGCGCAUGGUUGGAAGAUCUGGAGCUUGCAGAAAAUCUAUCUGUUGGUUGAAAAGACUUGACAGCAACUUGAUGGGAUAUAAUUUAUCAAUCAACUAAAGGAACAUAAAUGGGAAUGUUAUCCAGCAUGAUCGCAAACUAAACUUCCAACAGGCUUUAAACAUGCACUUACUUUAGUUUUAAAAACCUAACUUCUAAAUACUUGUUGACACAAGGAAUGUUGUUUCACCAUAUAUUUUUUUUAAAAAUUAAAAAGGAGUGAGCAUUCAAUUUCUGUCUUCUGUGGACCAUCACCCUAUGACCCUCAGUCACUGAGAGAAACUCACACACACACACACCCCAAAAAAAUGCAGCCCAUGGCUGCAAAAAAAUCUGUCCAGCUUACUUGAGGGGAAAAAAAGUGGCAAAUGCAACUCACAACAAGAUGAUGGGCUCCACUGACAGAAGCAGACUCCCUUUUUGCAUGUUCCAAUUCCCUAACUAAGAAUCAAGUGCUUAGAUUUGUGCCUCUAAUACUGCUCAGAAAAAGUU
This is a long non-coding RNA of Ahaetulla prasina, 2194 nucleotides long. RefSeq lists it as uncharacterized. The transcript is spliced from 4 exons. Lineage: Eukaryota; Metazoa; Chordata; Lepidosauria; Squamata; Colubridae. The record is from RefSeq and is a predicted model, not a curated record.